This 703-nucleotide long non-coding RNA is filed under the name Homo sapiens (human). RNAcentral describes it as "non-protein coding lnc-CPN2-4:26". Lineage: Eukaryota; Metazoa; Chordata; Mammalia; Primates; Hominidae. The record is from RNAcentral.
ACCCAACAAAGUACCUUCCUGAUGGGCCAGCUAUUUCAGAUGAUGAAGGUUUAAGAAGCAGCAUCAUCAGCGAACUGUGUUUUGAAGAUUUGAGGGAAGGGCUGACCUCAGGAUUUUAUACUAGGUAUUUGAUGCAAUGCAGACUGGAAUCCUCCCCACAAGGAUGCCCUGGCCUGAGUGGCACAGAGAUCAAUGCAGCAGUCAUUUCCUGGGCGGGGAAAGCCCAUCCACAGUGGCCCUGGAAUGAUGCUGGUCUUACCUUCUAUUCCUAGGAAGGCCCUAUCUCAAGUGGCUCUGGUCCAUGCAAACAGAUGGAAACGGGUGUGGGGAAGCACAGGCCUCCUACUCAUGUUAAGAGAGCUGCUCAGAGGCAGGAAUCCAGAACCAGGAAUGUCCCCAGUGGCUGCCCAAGGUACAAGUGGCAGGCAGCGGGGAGAAUGGCAUGUGAAGUCAUUUGUAACCUGGCCCCAGCUUGGUUUCCAAGUCUCAGAGGAGAUUAUGGAUAUGGUAGUGCCUGGCUCAGUGCUUAAAAUCCAUUCUCCUGCUAUUUCCCUCACCUACACUCAGCCCCACAAGCCGAGAUGUUUGCUGGACAUUUCAGGCACUGCCACCCAGUUCUGUCUACCUUACCUGCUAACACCUGUUGACCAUCCUUCAUGUGAAGGCUUCCCCAAAUACUUCCCAAUCAAAACACUAAAAGGCA